Molecule: ribosomal RNA, 468 nt
Filed under: uncultured bacterium
Lineage: Bacteria
Description: partial 16S ribosomal RNA
Rfam family: Bacterial small subunit ribosomal RNA
Source: RNAcentral
GACGAACGCUGGCGGCGUGCUUAACACAUGCAAGUCGAACGGAAAGGCCCUGCUUUUGUGGGGUGCUCGAGUGGCGAACGGGUGAGUAACACGUGAGUAACCUGCCCUUGACUUUGGGAUAACUUCAGGAAACUGGGGCUAAUACCGGAUAGGAGCUCCUGCUGCAUGGUGGGGGUUGGAAAGUUUCGGCGGUUGGGGAUGGACUCGCGGCUUAUCAGCUUGUUGGUGGGGUAGUGGCUUACCAAGGCUUUGACGGGUAGCCGGCCUGGGAGGGUGACCGGCCACAAUGGGACUGAGAUACGGCCCAGAAUCCUACGGGAGGCAGCAGGGGGGAAUAUGGCACAAUGGGCGGAAGCCUGAUGCAGCAACGCCGCGUGCGGGAUGACGGCCUUCGGGUUGUAAACCGCUUUCGCCGGUGACGAAGCGUGAGUGACGGUAAUGGGUAAAGAAGCACCGGCUAACUACGUG